GUGACAUCCCAUAAUACCCCAAUACCCAGAGUGACACCCCAUAAUACCCCAAUACCCAGAGUGACAUCCCAUAAUACCCCAAUACCCAGAGUGACAUCCCAUAAUACCCCAAUACCCAGAGUGACAUCCCAUAAUACCCCCAAUACCCAGAGUGACAUCCCAUAAUACCCCCAAUACCCAGAGUGACAUCCCAUAAUACCCAGAGUGACAUCCCAUAAUACCCAGAGUGACAUCCCAUAAUACCCAGAGUGACAUCCCAUAAUACCCAGAGUGACAUCCCAUAAUACCCCCAAUACCCAGAGUGACAUCCCAUAAUC
This is a non-coding RNA of Pelobates cultripes (western spadefoot toad), 317 nucleotides long. The record is from the annotation of a GenBank genome assembly. Lineage: Eukaryota; Metazoa; Chordata; Amphibia; Anura; Pelobatidae.